RNAcentral lists this ribosomal RNA (460 nucleotides) under uncultured Prevotella sp. Its description in RNAcentral is "bacterial SSU rRNA". It matches the Rfam family "Bacterial small subunit ribosomal RNA", at positions 338 to 795 of the family's 1533-position model. Lineage: Bacteria; Pseudomonadati; Bacteroidota; Bacteroidia; Bacteroidales; Prevotellaceae. The record is from RNAcentral.
CCUACGGGUGGCAGCAGUGAGGAAUAUUGGUCAAUGGGCGGAAGCCUGAACCAGCCAAGUAGCGUGCAGGAUGACGGCCCUAUGGGUUGUAAACUGCUUUUAUGCGGGGAUAAAGUGAGGGACGUGUCCUUCAUUGCAGGUACCGCAUGAAUAAGGAACGUCUAAUUCCGUGCCAGCAGCCGCGGUAAUACGGAAGGUACGGGCGUUAUCCGGAUUUAUUGGGUUGAAAGGGAGCGUAGGCCGUGGAUUAAGCGUGUUGUGAAAUUUCGACGCUCAACGUCUGAUUUGCAGCGCGAACUGGUUCACUUGAGUAUGCGCAAGGUAGGCGGAAUUCGUCGUGUAGCGGUGAAAUGCUUAGAUAUUACGAAGAACUCCGAUUGCGAAGGCAGCUUACGGGAGCAUAACUGACGCUGAAGCUCGAAAGUGCGGGUAUCGAACAGGAUUAGAUACCCUAGUAGUC